RNAcentral lists this transfer RNA (73 nucleotides) under Pteropus alecto (black flying fox). It matches the Rfam family "tRNA". Rfam says of the family: Transfer RNA (tRNA) molecules are approximately 80 nucleotides in length. Their secondary structure includes four short double-helical elements and three loops (D, anti-codon, and T loops). Lineage: Eukaryota; Metazoa; Chordata; Mammalia; Chiroptera; Pteropodidae. The record is from Rfam by way of RNAcentral.
GGUUGCAUAGUGUAAGAGUUAGCAAGUCUGCUUUAUACGCAGAAGGUCCUGGGUUCAUGCCCCAGUGGAGCCA